ACCAUCUACAACAACAACCAGCCAGAGGUGAACCUGCCAGUACUACCGCUGACUCACUGUGUCAUGCAAGCGAGAGGAAAGUUUGCUUGUUUUUAUAUACGUUUCAGGUGAAGAAAUGCUUCCAAAAACACGAGACCCAGUGACCCCCGAACUUCCUCACUGUGCAACUGCAGCACAAAGCUCAUCCGGUGUAGACGCGACAGACACCAGACAGCAAUCGACACUCUGGAGGAACUCUCAGAGCUUUGAAGGUCUGAUUGACUUGGCUACGGAAACCAUGUCACAUACUUGAGAGGGAAACCACUGGCAGAUGGAGAGGGACAAAAUCAUCCGUGCCAAAUCAGACCAACAGAUGCAACAGCUCUAGUUCUUUACUCGUCUACAACAAAGCUCUUCUGUGAAGUUCUUAUGUUUACACCAUAUACUGUAUUGUUCAAGUAACGUUGUAUCAAAGAAAUUAGGCAGUAUUUGAAGCAGUAUGAAACAGACAGACAGAGAGAGAGAGUGAUUGAAAGAAAAAGGAAGUGAAUGCAAUAAUGGAGUCUUUCAAAAGUACCCACAAGAAAAACAAACCAAACAUAUAUCAUUAUAACAUUAAUAAAUGUGCAGAUAGCUAUUUAUAUAGCUGAGCAGCCCUUGAAACAAAUAGGAAGAGAGAACAUGCAGUAAAAACCAAACUCGAGACAGCAAAACUGUAAACACAUUCUAUAGAAUUGUCAAUAAUAGGCCUGCACUAAAAUAAUAUGAAGAAUUUUAGAUUUAAUAAGAAGGCUAUUCAGGUCAUAAUGUCAGAUAUUGAACAAUUAAACAACAAUAAAAGUUAAAAAGAAAACUUCUGGCACACUAAUAAUAGCACGUAUGGUACUAUUCAAAUUAAGAUGUAUUACUGGCCAAUGAACAGUUAAGUUAACAUUAAAAGACUAAAUAUUCAUUAUAUUUUUAAAAGUUGAUUAAAAAAUAAAGGCAUUAAGGAGUUCUUAUUUACAGUGACAGUUGUAACUGUCAAUUAAAUGUCAGCUGACAGGUCCACAGUCUAACAAACUAACAGACUAAGAAACUGAAAGAAAAAAACAUCGGACGGUAACUGACCUUGUUUAUUAACCUCAGUAAUUGAGAGCGAGAACCACUAUCCUUAGAGCGUCCUUCUGUCUCCCUCUUUUCUGUCUUGUUUUCCUCUGUCGCACUUUCUGAUGUGACCCCCUUCUCUCUCUCUUUCUCUCUCUUCCCUCCUCCGCCGUGUGUUUCUCAGGAGGAAA
Megalobrama amblycephala (Wuchang bream) is the source of this 1256-nucleotide long non-coding RNA. RefSeq lists it as uncharacterized. NCBI's taxonomy places the organism in Eukaryota, Metazoa, Chordata, Actinopteri, Cypriniformes, Xenocyprididae. The record is from RefSeq and is a predicted model, not a curated record. The transcript is spliced from 2 exons.